AUGAGAGAGCUUCAGUGGAAAAUUUUGGGCGGGAGGGGUAUAAUAAUUGUAAGUGCUAGAUCUGUGCAAUUACACUGUAAGAAUUUGAAGAUUUCUCUGCCUUGCUUUGCAAGUGACCAAGCCUUCCUUCUUUCAGACCUUCUGUCUGUGCUAGGCCUUUUGCAGGGCUUUGCUGCUUGCUGCGUGGAGGCUGGGCUGACAGCAGAGCACUCAGGAGCACCACAUGGCCUCUAUGUGAUGGGUUUCAGGAAGGAUUCAGCGAUCGUGUGUGUACCUGAGAAUAUGCUACUCUUCAGGAGUAAGAAAGGAAAGAAGAAAACAAGGGAAAAAACAAACAAACAAAAAACAAAGGCCCCAGAGCCCUGAGGCAUGGAAACUAGCAAGCGGGCACUUCAGGACUGUGGCUAGAUGGCUCAGCAAAAUACUGGUAAUAAUAAUAGAAAAAGAUGCAAGAAGGCCUGUGAGGAAUUGAACACUUCAGUGAGUGGUGAUCAGUUUCCUCGGUGCUGGGAUUUCCUGGUAUUACACAGUGCUCUGUACGUUUCAGGGCAAGGCUUUGUAUUUGGUAACACAGCGUAGUAUUGAAACUGAGAGACCCGUAGCUUAGUUUUUACUACAGCUUCUGCAGUGCAACAUCAGUUACAAUUUAUUGCGAGUAACCUUCAGUAGCCAUCUAAGUAUCUUUUCUCCUAUAAGAAGGCAUGAGAUCUGAAAUUCUGUUUCACCUUGAAUGACCUAGGAAACUUAUCUUCAUCCGUGAUUCACCUAAUAUGAUCUGUAAGAAUGAAUUGGGUUGGCUGCUGUCAUGUCUCUAGACCAAAGGAAAGUAAAAUGUAAUUGUAAUGCAAAUGUAACUCUGAGAAUGCAACGCUCUGGAAUAGAGAAUCAACCGAAUUUCACGCAUGUUGGUAAAAACGUGCAGGAAAAGAGAAAACAGCAACCUAGAUGUAAGAGACAAGUGGAAGAUGAAGGCGAUUAAAUGCUAUCCAUAUAGCUUCAGAUUCCUGAAAGCCACGCAGAAGUUGAUCUGCCUGCCAGCCCCUGGGGAGGGUUGCAGCAGGCUCCCAGGCCGGGCUGGGAGCACAGCAUGUGCCCUGGCACACCUCUUGGCUGGAUGAAGCCGUGGCAGCAGCACCAUGCAAGCCCCCCUUCCCAGAGGAAAUCAGAAUUACAGCAUGACGAGAGAAAGGAAGGAUCUCAACCUCGGUGCGGGAGGGAGGGCUCUGAAUCACGCAGCCCAGGAGUGCGUUCCUAAUACGGGAUAGGAAACGACUCAAUCUGGUUAAUUUUAACAGUGCUACAUUUCCACGGCCCUUUAGUGCAGCCAACACCAUGAGGUUAAAUACCGUCUCUUCUUAUUCAAAGAAAAAUCAAAACUUUGCUGAUAAUGCAUGUGAUUUUGUGCUUCCUGCCAGACCACUACAGAGUGCUAUUAUUUCCCUUAAUUGUGAAGUGAAUUUACUAUAAAGCUCACUGAUGGGAAAAAAUUGCAUUACUCGUCCAUUGUUUCUCUUUGAUUCCUUGGCUGGCUUUCAGUCCUGCCCUGGAGCUGGGCUGUUGAUGGCAUAAAGCAACAGCACAGCUUCUGUGGACACACAGAGGGUGCCUCGGGCUGGGGCACAACUGGACGGGACAUCUUGGAAAGCAUUCAAAAGGCCGUGUGGCUUUGGGAAAAUAACACCAGCUUGCUGCUGGGGUGAGAAAGAUGAGCUUGGGCUCCCGCACAUGAGUUGAGUAUCUUCCCUUUAUGGUUUCCAGGUGAUGGCUGGGUGCAGCUCCCCAGGCCCGCCGUCUUCGUGGGUGUUGUUCCUACCCCGCUAAGAAGCAUCGCAUAGAAUUGAGCAAUAGGGUGAAUACGUGGUUGGCAGCAGCCGUGGUUUUCCUCAGCCACUGCUUGGUCAGGAACUGGUACUGAGGCAUUUUCAGUUAGUUAGCAGCUUCCUGCUGUGGGAUGGCAUGUACGGCAUGGUUUCGCUUUGUUUGCUCUCUGUGUUUUAUUUAAAACGCAAAGUGAAAAAAGAUGCAGGCAAUUUGCAAUACUUGCAUGUUCCCAGUGCCUGGGAUGGAGUUAUGGUCUGAAAGGUUCCCGUAUGGAACAAAAAAUCAGCAGAGUUUUUAUUUAGAUUAAAACCUAGAUGAGGUUCAGCAAGUUUUGCAACAUUUACUUCUCUGUGAAAUGCUGCUUAAACCUGGUUUUCCACUAAGAAAGACUGAUUCAACUAAAUUGGAAGGGUUCAUAAAUGUAUAGUGAUCUUGGUAGACGUUUAUAAUAAUGUCAGCAUGUUGUAAUGUAAUUAAGCUGUUGCAUUUGUCUUUCUUUUCCAAUAUACUGCGGCUCUGUCACUUUUGGGGGCCGUCUUGAUGCGUCUUGGAAGAAUAAUUUCUUGGAUGUCUAAAGCAAGCCUUUUGGGGGAUGUGUUAACUAGGUAAUUUCUGGUACCAGUUAGCUCUAAGUAAGUAAAGCAAGUACACAGAGGACUGUAGAGAAAGACCAAUUGAUUUUAAGAUGUCUGGAAAAAAUAGUGAACGUUGUGAUGUGUGGAAAUACGUCGGGAGUUUUCUGUGGACUGAAAUUAACCAUUUUGAAGCAGCAUUGGGUAUAUCCUCUGGAACAGCUUGCUUUAAAUUGUACAACUACAUGCUCUCUAGCUUAGAUACAAUAAUACUCUGAGCUAAUAUUCACUUAGAAUUAGAGUGAAAAAUAGAUUUCAUUUUCUCAUGUUAAACUAAUUACAAAACUAAGACUUGAAUUAGAAGGUUAAAAAGAGGUCUCCAAAAUAAAUCACUUCUGAAGCCCUAAGACCUUGUUGGU
This 2812-nucleotide long non-coding RNA is filed under the name Anas platyrhynchos platyrhynchos (common mallard). RNAcentral describes it as "lncRNA (ENSAPLG00000025649.1)". The record is from RNAcentral. Lineage: Eukaryota; Metazoa; Chordata; Aves; Anseriformes; Anatidae.